GAUGCAAUCUGAGGUUCAGUGGAUCGCCCCUUCUGUCUGAGCAUUGGGAGAGGUAACCAGCCCAGCUUCUGGAUGGACUAUGCUGCCCACUGAAGCAACUUGGAAAGAUCUACGAAUGGGCACAUGAGAGCUACUACCGUUAUACCUGGUGAUCAGAAUUAAUAUGGAGACCUUCACAGAACCACUGAUAAUAACUAGCUCUCUUCUGAAAACUACCACGUAGGAAAAAGAACUCUCCAACAUCAAUUGGAAGACUAUAAGCAAAGCUUUCAAGGUAGUGCUCCAUUAUUUUUGAUAUGGAAAACAAAUUUAAGUACUGGAUGGGUUGUCACAUGCCUAUAAUCCUACACUCAGGAGGCAGAGCAAGACUACAAGUUUG
Molecule: long non-coding RNA, 379 nt
Organism: Mesocricetus auratus (golden hamster)
Lineage: Eukaryota; Metazoa; Chordata; Mammalia; Rodentia; Cricetidae
Exons: 3
Source: RefSeq, a predicted model, not a curated record